This is a long non-coding RNA of Salvelinus namaycush (lake trout), 1482 nucleotides long. RefSeq lists it as uncharacterized. The transcript is spliced from 3 exons. NCBI's taxonomy places the organism in Eukaryota, Metazoa, Chordata, Actinopteri, Salmoniformes, Salmonidae. The record is from RefSeq and is a predicted model, not a curated record.
GGCUGCCUUAAUCGACAUCCACGUCAUCGGCGCCCGGGGAACAGUUGUUGUUGGGGGUUAACUGCCUUGGAGGGCAGAACGGCAGAUUUUUAUCUUGUCGAUUUGGGAAUUUGAUCUACACAGCCAUGUCUUCAGGGCAAAAACUACAGGAUGCUGCUGUGGGUUCACAUGGUUCACAUGGUGUCGCUGACUGUCUCCGUUUUUCCUCCAGAUAACAUCUCUGCAGAUGACAUGAUGCACAAAGAGACCAACUUGGAUGAGAGCAUGGAGAAGAUCGAGGCCAUCAAAUUCUACGAGGUGUAAGAGGUGGCCUGCAUUAUGUUAUGCUGUUACCGCGCGGGUCACGUCCUGGGCACAGCCAUGUUUAUGAUGGAGAUAGCAGGGGUAAAAGUGAGUACUGAGUUUAGAAAAUAAGAGCUUUUUCAACUUCUUCUUGAAAAGUUCCAUGAUUUCCCCUGAUUUUGUCCAGUUUUAUUAUUCUUGAAUAUCUCCUCAUCUCCACCUUGUUUUUGUAGAUGUGCCUUUAUAAAGUGUAAUAAUCAUCUCCCCAAUGCAUCACAUAGAUACAGAAUGUGUUGUUUAUUCUGGCCAGUAGAUGGCACCCAUAUGCUGGACAAAUGUUCCUGUUCAAGGCCAUUCAUGUGAUGUUGUUUUCCAUGUCUCAUCCUCGUGUUUGCCUUGGGAAAAGGCCAGGAAUUUCUGCUCAUCCUGGGUGAGAUUCUCCAACCAGUCCCCACUUCAGCCUGCUUAUAGAGCAGGGAUCUUCCUCUGUUCUAUAGCUCCAGUCACUCUCAAUCAUGGAAGAGUUCAUUAGGAACCAAACGACACCUGGCCUCCAAUCAGAAACGCACUUUAAAAAGUUUUCCGUUGCGUGCUCUAAUGAGCACAAUCCUUCUCUAGUGUGUGUUUUUUUUCUAGAGGUGUACUAGCAGAACCACCCGGAGCGUCACGACAUUCCCGUCUAGUACGCAUAGUCUCUGGCUGAAAGAAGUGCUGCUUACCAGACCUACAUCAACGCUGUGAACGACAAGAUCCGCAAGGCCAUCAAUGUCAACAACCCCUUUGUCUUCAAGCACAUCAGCAACCUCAUGAGUAGUCAAGAUCGGACCAACACGCAGCGUGAGUAUGGACCACUGAUGACGGCGGCCCAGUGUGGUGAUGGCGUCUCCAGGUAUGAUGCAGCGCAGUCUGUCCUGAGAGUUGAUCGAGAGCUGCUGCACCGACAAAAGGAACUAUCAUCAUCGCCGUAUACUGCGUGGAGGAUACCCUCACCAAGUUGGGGCUCAGUCUUCAACACGUCUUAAGUUGCCCUUUUAAAGCAGACAUUGCUCAGUCACGGUGACACGUUACACCAACAAUAACCCUACAGUGUGGAUUCAUUUCAAGCCAAACUUUGUGAUGAAAUAUUUAUUAUAAUCAAAUGACAGAUAAAGAACACAAUUUAACAGAAUUAAGUAAAUUAAAGACCAAGCUAUGAGUGUG